UAAGACGUAGGGGGCGAACGUUGCUCGGAAUUACUGGGCGUAAAGGGUGUGUAGGUGGCUGAGUAAGUCAAAGAUGAAAUCCCAAAGCUUAACUUUGGAAUUGUUUUUGAAACUGUUCAGCUUGAGGAUAGUUGAGGAAGACGGAAUUCCCGGUGGAGCGGUGAAAUGCGUAGAUAUCGGGAGGAACACCAGAGGCGAAGGCGGUUUUCUAAGCUAUUCCUGACACUGAGACACGAAAGCUAGGGGAGCGAACGGGAUUAGAUACCCCGGUAGUCCUAGCCGUAAACGAUGGGCACUAGAUGUUUCCGUUUUAAACGGGAGUGUCGUAGCUAACGCGUUAAGUGCCCCGCCUGGGGAGUACGGUCGCAAGGCUG
RNAcentral lists this ribosomal RNA (374 nucleotides) under uncultured Nitrospirota bacterium. RNAcentral describes it as "bacterial SSU rRNA". It matches the Rfam family "Bacterial small subunit ribosomal RNA", at positions 521 to 896 of the family's 1533-position model. Lineage: Bacteria; Pseudomonadati; Nitrospirota. The record is from RNAcentral.